Molecule: ribosomal RNA, 494 nt
Filed under: uncultured soil bacterium
Lineage: Bacteria
Description: bacterial SSU rRNA
Rfam family: Bacterial small subunit ribosomal RNA
Source: RNAcentral
AGGACGAACGCUGGCGGCGUGCUUAACACAUGCAAGUCGAACGGUGAAGGGACUGGCUUUUGUUGGUUCUGGAUGAGUGGCGAACGGGUGAGUAACACGUGAGUAACCUGCCCCCUUCUUCUGGAUAACCGCAUGAAAGUGUGGCUAAUACGGGAUAUUCUGGGUCUGUCGCAUGACGGGCCCGGGAAAGAUAUUGUUUCGGUGGGGGAUGGGCUCGCGGCCUAUCAGCUUGUUGGUGGGGUGAUGGCCUACCAAGGCGGUGACGGGUAGCCGGCCUGAGAGGGUGGACGGUCACACUGGGACUGAGACACGGCCCAGACUCCUACGGGAGGCAGCAGUGGGGAAUAUUGCACAAUGGGCGCAAGCCUGAUGCAGCGACGCCGCGUGAGGGAUGGAGGCCUUCGGGUUGUAAACCUCUUUACGCCAGUGAAGCAGGCCUGCUCCUGUGGUGGUUGACGGUAGCUGGAUAAGAAGCGGCCGCUAACGUGCGUGCC